UACCGAGGGUGCGAGCGUUAAUCGGAAUUACUGGGCGUAAAGCGCGCGUAGGCGGCUUUUCAAGUCGAUUGUGAAAUCCCCGGGCUUAACCUGGGAACUGCAGUCGAGACUGUCUAGCUAGAGUAUGGGAGAGGGAAGUGGAAUUUCAGGUGUAGCGGUGAAAUGCGCAGAUAUCAGGAGGAACACCGGUGGCGAAGGCGGAUCUCUGGGCCAUUACUGACGCUGAGGAGCGAAAGCGUGGGGAGCGAACAGG
Molecule: ribosomal RNA, 253 nt
Filed under: uncultured bacterium
Lineage: Bacteria
Description: partial 16S ribosomal RNA
Rfam family: Bacterial small subunit ribosomal RNA
Source: RNAcentral